RNA transcript from Cynoglossus semilaevis (tongue sole), 6376 nucleotides. It is a transcript of the gene named formin-like 3, with no coding region annotated. The transcript has 27 exons. NCBI's taxonomy places the organism in Eukaryota, Metazoa, Chordata, Actinopteri, Pleuronectiformes, Cynoglossidae. The record is from RefSeq and is a predicted model, not a curated record.
ACUAGAUGGCGGAAACGUUUCACAGAGUCUGUUCGGGCCAUCUGUAAAAUGACUACAUCCUGUCCCUACAGAUGUGGGAGGCGGGAACAGAAAACGUCUGAUUGAAAAGUGUGAUUGACAGGCGUUUCAGCCAACAGUGGCCGUGUUUAGAGUCUUAGGUCCCGCCCCAAGUGGAGGCAGCAGCCGAAAGCUUUAAUCAGUAUCACACAACAAUAAUGAAUGGAAACACGUCGGGGCCAACAAAGUUGAGCAGCAGCAGCAGCAGCAGUAGUUAGAAGACAGCGGAGCUCGGCUGUUUGAAAACUUCUUUGGACAUGGAUUGGCGGGGAAAAACGCAGAGUACUCAGUGGAAGAGCUGGCAGCUUAACUUUUAUUAGUUUUAUAGACAUAUUUCGUGAAGAUAGGACGGCGGACUCAGAUCGUAAAUGGCAUUUUGGGAGAGUAAUAAGAGACUAUUGCACUGUCAGCUUUUUGUCUCAGCGUGGAGAAGUGGAUUAUUGAGUUUCAUCAGUGGGUGAAACGGUCGGAAUACUUGGGAAUAAGUUCGUUUGGACGAUUUUUUCGCUGUUUUGUUUGUUUGUUUUUGUUUUACCUUGGGCAAAGUUUUUAAAUAACUUGAAGGACGAUCCAGUUGUGAGACAAUGGGGAAUAUAGAGAGUGUGGAUGGACAGUCGGAGAUGAAACAUCACAUCAUGCCUCUGAAGGUGCCCAUGCCUGACCCGACUGAGCUGGAGGAGAAGUUUGCCAUUGUGUUGAAUUCCAUGAACCUCCCACCAGACAAAGCCCGACUUCUGAGACAAUAUGACAAUGAGAAGAAAUGGGAUCUAAUCUGCGACCAGGAGAGGUUCCAGGUGAAGAAUCCACCUCACACCUACAUCCAGAAGCUGCGAGGAUACUUAGACCCUCGAGUCACACGCAAGAAGUUUCGGCGGCGAGUCCAGGAGUCUACAAAAGUCUUGAGGGAGCUGGAGAUAUCACUGAGAACCAACCACAUCGGGUGGGUCAGGGAGUUCCUCAAUGAUGAGAACAGAGGUCUUGACAUCCUGGUGGAGUAUCUAUCCUUUGCUCAGUGUGCUGUCAUGUUGGAUUUUGAAGGGCUGGAGAAUGGGGAAGAAGGCUACUUGGACAAGACUAAGUCUUGGAGCAGGUCCAUAGAGGAUCUGCACCACACAGGCACACAACCCUUCUGCAACACACUGGUGCGCUCUGCCCGCCAGUCUGUCCUCCGCUACGGCUCCAUCUCCAACACCAAAACCAUCAAAAACUCUCGCCUUGUGAGCCAAAAGGAUGAUGUGCAUGUCUGCAUCAUGUGCUUGAGAGCAAUCAUGAACUACCAGUAUGGCUUCAAUAUGGUCAUGUCCCACGCGCACGCGGUCAAUGAAAUCGCCCUGAGCUUAAACAAUAAGAACUCACGCACAAAAGCCUUAGUCCUUGAGCUGCUCGCUGCCGUCUGUCUAGUCCGAGGAGGUCACGAGAUAAUCCUGUCAGCGUUUGACAACUUUAAAGAGGUGUGUAAGGAGAAACAUCGGUUUGAGAGACUGAUGGAUUAUUUCCGCAGUGAGGAGGGAAACAUUGACUUCAUGGUUGCUUGCAUGCAGUUCAUCAACAUUGUUGUCCACUCUGUUGAGGACAUGAACUUCCGGGUCCAUCUACAGUUUGAGUUCACAAAACUGGGGUUGGAUGACAAUCUGGAGAAAUGUAAACAUACAGAAAGUGACAAGCUGUCGGUGCAGAUCCAGGCCUACCUGGACAACGUGUUUGACGUGGGUGGUCUCUUAGAGGAUGCAGAGACCAAGAAUGCAGCACUGGAGAAGGUGGAGGAGCUGGAGGAGCACCUGUCUCAUGUGACAGAGAAGCUUCUGGAGGUCGAAAAUGAAACCAUGAUGAAAGUGGCAGACCUGGAGAAGCUGCUCCUACAGAAGGACAAGGACUUGCAAACAAUCCGGGAGACAUACGAGUCCACCAGCACCCAAGUCAACACGCUGAGGAGGAUGAUCAAGGAGAAGGACGCAGCAUCCCAGAGGCAUGUCAACAUUGAGAGACGGCUGCUGGAGCUGGAGCAGCAGGGCACCAUCCGUCUGCACAAGAAGCCUGACGGAGACAUUUCGAUCGAGCCACUGGGUGUGGGCGGAGCUGGUGUAGGACAUGGUGCUGGUUCUGGCCUUGGGAUCCCUCUAGGUAACAUUGGACAGCUGUCUCUGGGUCCAGCAGCAGAGUUUGCAGGACUGGGAGGAAUAGACACCAGUUUACCACCAGCCAGUGAGGCUCCUCCUCCACCUCCACCACCACCACCUCCUCCUCCACCACCUCCCCUGCCUUCGACCACAGGCCCAAGUCCUCCAGCCCCACCACCUCCUCCUCCUGCCCCACCUCUGCCAGACGCUUCUCCAUCAGUUAUCCUGAGUGUGGGUCUCUCAGCCAUCAGAAUCAAAAAGCCAAUAAAGACAAAGUUCCGCCUGCCUGUGUUUAACUGGACGGCGCUGAAGCCCAAUCAGAUCAACGGGACAGUCUUCAAUGAGAUUGAUGAUGAACGCGUGUUGGAGGAGCUUGAACUAGAGAGGUUUGAGGAGCUGUUCAAGACCAGAGCUCAGGGUCCAGUUGUGGAUCUCGCCUCCACAAAAAGCAAAGUGUCCCAGAAGGUGGUGAACAAGGUGACGCUUCUGGACCAUAAUCGAUCUAAGAACUUAGCCAUCACAUUGCGAAAGGCCAACAAGACCACAGAUGAGAUCUGCAAAGCAAUAGAGAAGUUUGAUCUCAAGGCCUUACCUGUGGACUUUGUGGAGUGCCUGAUGCGUUUCCUGCCCACGGACGCAGAGGUCAAGGUGCUGCGUCAGUACGAGCGCGAGCGGCGCCCCCUGGAUCAGUUGGCAGAGGAGGAUCGUUUUAUGCUGUUUUUCAGCAAGAUUGAGAGACUAACUCAGAGAAUGAACAUUAUCACCUUUGUUGGCAACUUCGCCGACAACGUCAACAUGCUCACGCCGCAGCUCAACGCAGUAAUCGCCGCUUCUGGAUCAGUCAAAUCUUCACCAAAGCUGAAGAGGAUACUCGAAAUCAUCUUAGCUCUGGGGAACUACAUGAACAGCAGCAAACGAGGUUGUGUUUACGGUUUUAAAUUACAAAGUCUUGAUCUGCUGCUGGACACUAAAUCUACAGACAGGAAGAUGACCCUGCUCAACUACAUAGCUCUCAUAGUGAAGGAGAAAUACCCUGAACUGGCCAACUUCUAUAAUGAACUGCACUUUGUGGAAAAAGCUGCAGCAGUGUCUCUGGAAAAUGUGCUGCUGGACGUCAAAGAGCUGGGGAAGGGCAUGGACCUGAUCCGAAGAGAGUGCAGCCUCCAUGACCAUUCAGUCCUCAAAGGCUUCAUCCAGGGCAGUGAUGGACAGCUGGACAAGCUGCAGAAGGAUGCGAAGGCAGCAGAGGAAGCAUUCAACAAUGUGGUGAACUACUUUGGAGAGAGCGCCAAGACGACUCCACCCUCGGUGUUUUUCCCUGUGUUUGUGCGCUUUAUCAAAGCCUACAAGGAUGCAGUGACAGAAAACGAGCAGAGGAAAAAGCAGGAGGAGGCAAUGAGGGAAAAGUUGUUGGCUCAGGAGGCCAAACAGCACGACCCUAAGGUCCAGGUUCAGAAGAAGAGGCAGCAGCAGCAGGAGCUGAUUGCGGAGCUACGCAAGCGACAAGCCAAAGACCACCGGCCCGUGUACGAGGGCAAGGACGGCACGAUAGAGGACAUCAUCACAGUCCUGAAGAGCGUGCCCUUCACAGCCCGCACUGCUAAACGUGGCUCACGGUUCUUCUGUGAAGCCAACCUCUGCGACGACGCCAACUGCUAGCCCUCCCCUCCCUUAAUGCCAAGCUGAGAAGAAGAUUAAUGACAGUAUUUCACUCUUCUAACAGAGGAUCUCCGAAACCAGCCCUUCCUGCGAGCUGAUGCGUUGAUCCGGAGCGGUUGGAAGAGACCCUAAACCACUUAUUCAUCACUUAAACCCCCCCUCCCCCCGAUAUAACCUUCCUCCCUGUGCCCUGAUGGUUCAUCUCAACCCUGAGGCUGCAGCUUACAAAGACUGAAAAGAGAGGAGAGGACAGAGGCCUUGUCUUAGCUGGGUAAUUUAUUUAUUUAUGGAGGCCCCUAAGAGCCACUUUAGGACAGCGGGCAUUGUUGUGAAAGCACAGAGGCUCAACCCUCACUCACUACAGGGAGAAGACUUUUCCUGCUCUGGUGGAACUGAGACUUAGAUCUGCUGAAUCCUGACUACAGGUGAGAGGGGUGUAAGGUGGGGAGGGGUGGUGUCUAAAGCAGGACAGAACAGUGCCUUCAUUCACUAGUGCUUGCCAACAUUAUUCUCAAGGAAGAUUUUUUUUUUUCCGCAGAAUGUGUCAUUGUUGUAGACUAGAACUGAGAUGCAGCACGACGUCCUAACAAUCCUUAAUGUCACACGUUUGUGGGCUGUUUAAUUUAUACAAAGCCAAGUCGAUACUUUCAUGUAGGGUUCAAACAAAGACAAUGGUGUAUUUUGAAUUCAAUCAAAUGUGUCUCAGAGGAAUGGGUUUCCUUUGUGUGGAGCUAGCCAAACCAAACCUCCUUGAAUGUCUUAUGUUUUCACUCACAAAGUGCCUUUUUUCUGUGUUAACAGUGUUAUGUCUAUGGACUAUUGAUAAGAACGGACACCUUAGAAAGACCGCAAGUGCUCCGCUGGUUCAGGAAGUACGAGGCUAUGUCAUGAGGACAGAUGUUGGCAUUUCAGGUUUAUAUUUGUCAUCAGUUAUCAUUUAUUUGAUUUAAACCUUAAUAUACAAAGAAAUGAAAUCAGAGCAAACUAAUUGUUAACCAAACUUAAGUAAAAACUUGUUACAGGAAUGGACAAGUGAUAUUGCGCGAUGCUGUUCUUUAGUAAAAAUUGAAAAGAAGAGACAUAGAAGCAGAAUUUUCUGAUGGUAAUGGAGAAUAUAAAAAGAAAGAACUUAUUAUAUUACUUAUAUUUUCAAAGCAAAUAUUUAUUGAAUUGUUUUUUUAACUUUCUGACGUAUUGUCAUAACACAGUUUAUAGAAAUGGGCAAUACUUCCUAUUUAAUUUAGAUAUUUCUUUUGUUUAUUUUUUCCUCAAUCCUACAGUUUUAAUCACUAAAUCUUGAGCUUAGUCAAUAUAAUAUGUCAAUUCUAUUCAUUUUCAGUUAUUUACAAUUUACUGGACAGUGAAAUGUAAGAUGGAAAGCAAAUAGAAAUGGGCACACAUUUGAUUUCCUUUUGCUGUUACUGGUUUGUCCAGUAGGAGGCGGGCUUUCGAGACAUAAGGUUCGCAUUGGAGGUAAAUGUCACUGAUAGCGUGAUAAUGAUCAAUGAUCAGUGACUGUAAUGCAGGGGUCUCUAAGUCAUGACUAGAUGUCAAUAAUAAUUAACGUUUAAAGGUAAUUUUUUAAAAUGUCAUUUUUCCUUAUAUAAUACUGCUUUAGUUGGCCAUUAAGGUUGUUUACACUGUAGUAUUGUGUAUGUAUUAUUUGACCCCUGUUCUAAUUGGACAAGUUAACUGUCAAUCUUCUGACAGCUGAAAUCAUGUUUCCUAAAAUAAUGUUGAACCCAACAUUAAAGAGCCUCUGAUGAUCAGGAGGUUUUUCACUGAUAUUCAAAAUCUGUAUACUUCUAUACAAACUGCGUUACUUCCUUAACCAGCCAACCACUUCGGUUGUUUCCUUUGCUUCCCUCUGAGCUGAUUGGUCUGUUUCUUAUACACAGUUUACCUUAGUUUUUCACAGGUCAGCCGUGUUGACCUUCUGCAACACUGUUCAUUUGUCAAAGAUUGUAUCUUUAUUUCUGUGUACUUUAAAAAAUAGCCUUAUUUAGUUACUGAGAAUGAUAUGCAAAUGUUCUGAGAUCUGGAGGCACAUCACAAAGAGAAGGUAGAUGGCGAUGUUACGACUGUUCUGACCUGUAUGGUUUUUGUGUUUCUGUGCCAUGACCAACACAACUGAAUUGUAUUUGUAAGAAAUCAUGAAACUGAAUGUUUUGCGUCUUGACAACACUUUUGGUCACAGCUAAUGUGACAUUAUGCAAAGUGACAAAAAAGUAGAAGAAGAAGAGAGAAGUAAAAGAAGGCUUCAUGUGGACUGCUGUUAAUGGUCUUAGAUGGUGACCUGCCACAGAUGUGGUGAUGGAUGAAGGACAUUUCAAUAUUGUUUUUUAAACUCAGAUGAGACGAUGACUUUUCUCCUAACAGCAUGUGUUUUUUGUUUUCUUUAAUAUAACAAUGGCACAAAGAAAGACGUCGUCACACUACUUAAUUUGGCUCAUGUUGAAUAAAACACUAUCCUUUAAGUGGACUUUUACAUGUAUGUAUAUUGAAAUUAAAAAUCGAAUUUAGAAUAAAUCAUCUGUAUUAUA